AAUUAAAGUAGAGCAAAAAUAAUUAGUAAUGUGUGGCACAACUGAAAGAAUUUCCUCCAAUAAAAUACAUAGUAUUUAUAUUAACUUAGAGAAUACACAUUCUUAUCAAAUAUGCACAAAACAAUUAUAUUUUUCUAUGCAUUAGGACACAUAGAAAAAAAUCAAAUUCCCCCAAACUGGUAUAAUGUAUAUCAUAGUCUCUGACCACAAAGUGAAAUAAGACAAAUAACUACAAAAGAAUAGCCAAAACAAAACAAAAAAACCCAACCCAUUUGGAAAAUUAAAGCAACUAACAUAGAACUCUUAGGUUAAAAAUAAAAUCAAUAUGAAAAAUGCAGAUUACUUAGGAACAAUGACAAUGGGAACUGGAAAAGGGGUACUCAAUAGAAAUUGUGUAGUCUUAAUUUCAUGUAUGAGAAAACAAGAUUAAAAAUAAAUGAACUGUGUACUAAGGCAAGAAAGCCAAAAGGAUAAAAAAAUUAACCUAAAGAAAUUAGAAAUAUUUCAUUUAUAAAGAGAAAAAUAAAAAUUAAUGAAACAGGAGGCCAAAAAAAAAAAAGGCAAACAGAUGACUUGAAAAGACUAACAUAAAAGACUAAGGUUUAUAAAUUUAAUCAAGGAUAAAAGAUUGAGAGCAUACAUUAAGAAAUUUAGAAACAAGUAUAGGGAGAAAAUUACAGACUUGGAAGAAAUUAAAUAUAAGACAUAAUAAUAGCACAUAUAGUAUAGGUCAACAAAAUUAAGCAUCAUGAUGAAUUAGACUAAUUUUUUAAGCAAUAUAUGAAUUACCAAAUUGAAUGCAAGAAGAUAUAGAAAACCUGUAGUCUCAUAAUCACAGGAAGAAAUGAAAAGACACUUUCAUCUCCAUAGUGUCCAAGUUCCCUUUCUUCUUAAUUAACAGAAGAUAUAGUUGGAAUGGCAACAUAACUGACUAAAAAUAGCUUCCUGGACUCCCUUUCCAGCCAAAACAGUCAUGUGCCCAGUGAAACACAAAAAUAAAAAUGAGAUGUAAGUAAAAGACUGUUGGAGAUUUCUAGGAAGGAUUUUUGUUUCCCUGUUACAGGCAUCGUCCCCUCUUCCCUCCCUUCCUCCUGCAUCCUAACUGGACUAAGGAUCAAAGCUUGGAGGUCAUCAGUUAUUUACUGACUGUGAGGCAACAAGCAGAGUACCAACUCAAUGCCAGAAGGAGAUGGGGGGAAUGUAAAGGAAAGUCUGGGCACCUCAGGCAUUGCUGAGCUGCUGAAUCAGCCCUAGAAUGCUUGGUCAUACACUUCCCUUUAUGUGACUCAAACAAACCUCUGUGUGGUUAAGACAGUGUUAGUCAACUUCCAGUUAUUUGCAGCUGAAUAAAAAUAAUUUUCAUUUCUCAAAUGAUGUGAAUAUCUACUUAAAAACUAAGAAGACUAAAGCAAUUCACUGAAAGCUGUAAGAACAGGAGUUCAACAACAUGGCUAGAUCCAAAAUAGAAACCAAAAAUUGUCCUAUGUACCAGUGAUGCCUAUUAGAAAAUGUAAAAGUGAUCUCAUUCACAGUAACAACAAAAACUACAAUAUAUCUAAUAAUUGAUAUAAGAGGACAGCCCGAGUGGCUCAGUGGUUUAGUGCUGCCUUCGGCCCAGGGCCUAAUCCUGGAGACCCAGGAUCAAGUCCCACGUCGGGCUCCCUACAUGGAGCCUGCUUCUCCCUCUGCCUGUGUCUCUGCCUCUCUCUCUCUCUCUCUCUCUCUCUCUCUCUGUGUGUCUCUCCUGAAUAAGGAAAAUCUUUAAAAAAAUAAAAUAAAAUAAGAUUUAAAAAAAGGAAUUGAUAUAAGAAAUCUUAAAAGCCUAUAUGAAGAAAACUAUGAAUCUUUAUUAUAGAACAUAAAAUGUUUAGGAAACAAGUACAGAAAGCCCUUGUUUUGCAUAGUUCCAACAUGCACAAGUUCCAAGUACCACAAUUUAGUUAAAUAACACUAGUUAUCCCCAACAUUUGCUACCAUGGUAUUAUAAAGUACAAACUUUACUAUUAGCAUUACAGUCCAUAAAUCAUUACAUAAAAAAACAGAUGAGUAUCAUGAUAAGUGACCAAUCACAUCACUUCUCUCAAAGUCUGUUAGUGAUUGAUCACUGCAUAUUUGUUAUUCAGUUUAUGCAUAGACAGCAAAGUGUGUCAUUGCAUUGGCUCCUUAUCUCCAGUGGUAAACCCACAUGACAUAAAAGUGACCAUUGAAAGAGGGGAAUUGGCCAUUAUAUAUGAAACUGCAGUACAUAAGUGAAAAAUGGUAAUACUGAAAGUGAAAUUCAAAUUGAAAAUAAAUGGAAUUAUAGAAAAAAUAGUAUCAAUUCACUAAGGCAUAGAAAACAUCCUUGCUCUGUAUUAUGAGUUACGUGACAAGACAGAAGGCAAGCAUUAUUGAAGCCAAUCUUGAUAAGUUUCUUAGGAAAAAAAAAA
This 2429-nucleotide long non-coding RNA is filed under the name Canis lupus familiaris (dog). RNAcentral describes it as "lncRNA (ENSCAFG00000052671.1)". Lineage: Eukaryota; Metazoa; Chordata; Mammalia; Carnivora; Canidae. The record is from RNAcentral.